RNAcentral lists this unclassified non-coding RNA (288 nucleotides) under uncultured fungus. Its description in RNAcentral is "partial contains small subunit ribosomal RNA, internal transcribed spacer 1, and 5.8S ribosomal RNA". The stretch from base 1 to 73 matches the Rfam family "Eukaryotic small subunit ribosomal RNA", at positions 1759 to 1831 of the family's 1831-position model. The record is from RNAcentral. Lineage: Eukaryota; Fungi.
GCAAACUUGGUCAUUUAGAGGAAGUAAAAGUCGUAACAAGGUUUCCGUAGGUGAACCUGCGGAAGGAUCAUCAAAAGAGGGGGAUCCACUGUAUGGUGGGUCUCCACCAAUCUUGUGUGAACCGUAAAGCGAUCACUGCGAGGAGGCUGUUGGCGGGAGAGCACUCUCUCGCCAGCCGCCUCCACGCAGCAUUAUACCCUUUACCACUCUUGCCUAACAUUCCACACACUAAAUUACACAACUUUUAACAAUGGAUCUCUUGGCUCUCGCAUCGAUGAAGAACGCAGC